UCAGCAGCCGCGGUAAUACGGAAGGUCCGGGCGUUAUCCGGAUUUAUUGGGUUUAAAGGGAGCGUAGGCCGUGGAUUAAGCGUGUUGUGAAAUGCAGGUGCUCAACGUCUGCACUGCAGCGCGAACUGGUCCACUUGAGUGUGCGCAACGCAGGCGGAAUUCGUCGUGUAGCGGUGAAAUGCUUAGAUAUGACGAAGAACUCCGAUUGCGAAGGCAGCUUGCGGGAGCACAACUGACGCUGAAGCUCGAAAGUGCGGGUAUCGAACAGGAUUAGAUACCCUGGUAGUCCGCACGGUAAACGAUGGAUGCCCGUUGUCAGGCUGUUUCAGCCUGGUGACCAAGCGAAAGCAUUAAGCAUCCCACCUGGGGAGUACGCCGGCAACGGUGAAACUCAAAGGAAUUGACGGGGGCCCGCACAAGCGGAGGAACAUGUGGUUUAAUUCGAUGAUACGCGAGGAACCUUACCCGGGCUUGAAUUGCAGAGGAAGGAUUUAGAGAUAAUGACGCCCUUCGGGGUCUCUGUGAAGGUGCUGCAUGGUUGUCGUCAGCUCGUGCCGUGAGGUGUUGGCUUAAGUGCCAUAACGAGCGCAACCCCUCUCUUCAGUUGCCAUCAGGUAAUGCUGGGCACUCUGGAGACACUGCCACCGUAAGGUGUGAGGAAGGUGGGGAUGACGUCAAAUCAGCACGGCCCUUACGUCCGGGGCUACGCACGUGUUACAAUGGCCGGUACAGAGGGACGGUGUAAUGCAAAUUGCAUCCAAUCUUGAAAGCCGGUCCCAGUUCGGACUGGGGUCUGCAACCCGACCCCACGAAGCUGGAUUCGCUAGUAAUCGCGCAUCAGCCAUGGCGCGGUGAAUACGUUCCCGGGCCUUGUACACACCGCCCGUCAAGCCAUGAAAGCCGGGGGUGCCUGAAGUCUGUGACCGCAAGGAACGGCCUAGGGCAAAACCGGUGAUUGGGGCUAAGUCGUAACAAGGUAGCCGU
Molecule: ribosomal RNA, 984 nt
Filed under: uncultured bacterium
Lineage: Bacteria
Description: bacterial SSU rRNA
Rfam family: Bacterial small subunit ribosomal RNA
Source: RNAcentral